GACGAACGCUGGCGGCGUGCUUAACACAUGCAAGUCGAACGGUGAAGCGCCUUCCUUUUUGGUGGGUGUGGAUGAGUGGCGAACGGGUGAGUAACACGUGAGUAACCUGCCCCCUUCUUCUGGAUAACCGCAUGAAAGUGUUGCUAAUACGGGAUAUUCUGGGUCUGUCGCAUGAUGGGUCUGGGAAAGAUAUUGUUUCGGUGGGGGAUGGGCUCGCGGCCUAUCAGCUUGUUGGUGGGGUGAUGGCCUACCAAGGCGGUGACGGGUAGCCGGCCUGAGAGGGUGGACGGUCACACUGGGACUGAGACACGGCCCAGACUCCUACGGGAGGCAGCAGUGGGGAAUAUUGCACAAUGGGCGCAAGCCUGAUGCAGCGACGCCGCGUGAGGGAUGGAGGCCUUCGGGUUGUGAACCUCUUUCGCCAGUGAAGCAGGCCUGCCUCGUUUGUGGGUGGGUUGACGGUAGCUGGAUAAGAAGCGCCGGCUAACUACGUG
RNAcentral lists this ribosomal RNA (494 nucleotides) under uncultured bacterium. RNAcentral describes it as "partial 16S ribosomal RNA". It matches the Rfam family "Bacterial small subunit ribosomal RNA", at positions 28 to 507 of the family's 1533-position model. The record is from RNAcentral.